AAAGUCGUAACAAGGUUUCCGUAGGUGAACCUGCGGAAGGAUCAUUACCGAGUGUCGGGCCCCCCGGGGCCCAGCCUCCCACCCGUGUCUACCGUCCCUUGUUGCUUCGGCGGGCCCGCCCUUCAGGGUGGCCCGGCGGCCCUCGUGCCCCCGGGCUCCGCGCCCGCCGGAGACGUCCACAUGAACCCUUUGUGAAGGUUGCCGUCUGAGUGGAUAUGUCCAAUAAUAAUUAAAACUUUCAACAACGGAUCUCUUGGUUCCG
RNAcentral lists this unclassified non-coding RNA (262 nucleotides) under Ascomycota sp. RNAcentral describes it as "partial contains small subunit ribosomal RNA, internal transcribed spacer 1, and 5.8S ribosomal RNA". The stretch from base 1 to 47 matches the Rfam family "Eukaryotic small subunit ribosomal RNA", at positions 1785 to 1831 of the family's 1831-position model. Lineage: Eukaryota; Fungi; Ascomycota. The record is from RNAcentral.